GGCGUCGCACGCGGGACGAAGAGAGAGAGAGGAGAGAAAAAUGAGGAGAGAGAAGGGAGAAGGAAGAGAUAAAAUCUGACUUUUUUCCAAAUUACCGUUUUGCCCUUCGCGGUAAUUUGAUCGUAUCUUCUUACUUACAACUCCAAUUCGGGUUUACUCCGUGUCUACGGACUCGUUUCGCCGUGCUCUACGCAACGGCGUAAGCGAAAUUCCCAA
Molecule: long non-coding RNA, 216 nt
Filed under: Prunus persica (peach)
Lineage: Eukaryota; Viridiplantae; Streptophyta; Magnoliopsida; Rosales; Rosaceae
Description: long non-coding RNA (PPER_LNC006217)
Source: RNAcentral